Molecule: ribosomal RNA, 702 nt
Filed under: Paraburkholderia sp.
Lineage: Bacteria; Pseudomonadati; Pseudomonadota; Betaproteobacteria; Burkholderiales; Burkholderiaceae
Description: bacterial SSU rRNA
Rfam family: Bacterial small subunit ribosomal RNA
Source: RNAcentral
UACGGGAGGCAGCAGUGGGGAAUUUUGGACAAUGGGCGAAAGCCUGAUCCAGCAAUGCCGCGUGUGUGAAGAAGGCCUUCGGGUUGUAAAGCACUUUCUGUCCGGAAAGAAAACCUCCGAGUUAAUACCUUGGGGGGAUGACGGUACCGGAAGAAUAAGCACCGGCUAACUACGUGCCAGCAGCCGCGGUAAUACGUAGGGUGCAAGCGUUAAUCGGAAUUACUGGGCGUAAAGCGUGCGCAGGCGGUCCGCUAAGACAGAUGUGAAAUCCCCGGGCUUAACCUGGGAACUGCAUUUGUGACUGGCGGGCUAGAGUAUGGCAGAGGGGGGUAGAAUUCCACGUGUAGCAGUGAAAUGCGUAGAGAUGUGGAGGAAUACCGAUGGCGAAGGCAGCCCCCUGGGCCAAUACUGACGCUCAUGCACGAAAGCGUGGGGAGCAAACAGGAUUAGAUACCCUGGUAGUCCACGCCCUAAACGAUGUCAACUAGUUGUCGGGUCUUCAUUGACUUGGUAACGUAGCUAACGCGUGAAGUUGACCGCCUGGGGAGUACGGUCGCAAGAUUAAAACUCAAAGGAAUUGACGGGGACCCGCACAAGCGGUGGAUGAUGUGGAUUAAUUCGAUGCAACGCGAAAAACCUUACCUACCCUUGACAUGUAUGGAACCUGGCUGAGAGGUCAGGGUGCCCGAAAGGGAGCCAUAA